UACGAAGGGGGCUAGCGUUGCUCGGAAUCACUGGGCGUAAAGCGCACGUAGGCGGCUCUUUAAGUCAGGGGUGAAAUCCUGGAGCUCAACUCCAGAACUGCCCUUGAUACUGAAGAUCUUGAGUUCGGGAGAGGUGAGUGGAACUGCGAGUGUAGAGGUGAAAUUCGUAGAUAUUCGCAAGAACACCAGUGGCGAAGGCGGCUCACUGGCCCGAUACUGACGCUGAGGCACGAAAGCGUGGGGAGCAAACAGG
This 253-nucleotide ribosomal RNA is filed under the name uncultured bacterium. RNAcentral describes it as "partial 16S ribosomal RNA". It matches the Rfam family "Bacterial small subunit ribosomal RNA", at positions 524 to 776 of the family's 1533-position model. The record is from RNAcentral.